UACAGAGGUGGCAAGCGUUGUUCGGAAUUACUGGGCGUAAAGGGCGCGUAGGCGGUGUGUCAAGUCAGGCGUGAAAGCCCCGGGCUCAACCUGGGAACCGCGCUUGAGACUGGCACGCUCGAGUUCGGGAGAGGAUGGUGGAAUUCCCAGUGUAGAGGUGAAAUUCGUAGAUAUUGGGAAGAACACCGAUGGCGAAGGCAGCCAUCUGGACCGACACUGACGCUGAGGCGCGAAAGCGUGGGGAGCGAACAGG
RNAcentral lists this ribosomal RNA (253 nucleotides) under uncultured bacterium. RNAcentral describes it as "partial 16S ribosomal RNA". It matches the Rfam family "Bacterial small subunit ribosomal RNA", at positions 524 to 776 of the family's 1533-position model. The record is from RNAcentral.